Molecule: ribosomal RNA, 478 nt
Filed under: uncultured bacterium
Lineage: Bacteria
Description: partial 16S ribosomal RNA
Rfam family: Bacterial small subunit ribosomal RNA
Source: RNAcentral
GAUGAACGCUGGCGGCGUGCUUAACACAUGCAAGUCGAACGAGAAGUGAAGACGGAAACCUUCGGGCGGAAGGCUUUAUUUCGAGUGGCGGACGGGUGAGUAACGCGUGGGUAACCUGCCUCAUACAGGGGGAUAACAGUUGGAAACGACUGUUAAUACCGCAUAAGACCACAGCACCGCAUGGUGCGGGGGUAAAAACUCCGGUGGUAUGAGAUGGACCCGCGUUCGAUUAGCCAGUUGGCGGGGUAACGGCCCACCAAAGCGACGAUCGAUAGCCGAUCUGAGAGGAUGACCGGCCACAUUGGGACUGAGACACGGCCCAGACUCCUACGGGAGGCAGCAGUGGGGAAUAUUGCACAAUGGGGGAAACCCUGAUGCAGCGACGCCGCGUGAGUGAAGAAGUAUUUCGGUAUGUAAAGCUCUAUCAGCAGGGAAGAAAAUGACGGUACCUGAGUAAGAAGCCCCGGCUAACUACGUG